UGAUAAAAUUCCAAACGUAAUGUUUAUGUAUGUUGAACCUUUUCAAUUUAUAAGACUUCGCAGAAGUUAUUUUUAAAUGUGCUAACAUAAAUAUUAUAACGAUUGUAUUCCUUCUUAUGCGGUGAACCAUAACACUUAUUAUCACAUUGAUUUAAUUUAUAAGUGAGCAAACAUAAAAAGUAAAGUUAUCCUGCUAUAGUUAAAAAUUAUGUGUAUCCACCUAUGAAUUUAAAGUUUGCCCGCUUUGAUUCAGGACCAAAACGACGUCAGUGUUCGCGCCAAUCGAAAGCGUCGGAGAGUCUUCUGCUGAGUUGAGUGAAAUUGCACCAUAUUAAAAGGCAGGAGGAAAUGCAAAAUACAAGAGUCAAGGAUGGCCCCGGAUGGCGUUCGUCUUAGUCUGCAGUGCGGCCAAGACAAAGCAACAACAAGCGAGCCGGAAGUUGAACCGCCAACAAAAAUAGAACCCGAAUCUACCUCUGCCACCCCCACGGAUGAUGACGACGACCAGGGAAAUCAGACGCUAUUCAAGGGAAACCGCGAUGAUGAGAGAUGUCACUCAGGAUCGAUCAAGAAUUCCCGGCCGCGACACAACGACAAAUCCACAGUGACGAGUUUCAGCAAGCGCAGACGGAGGCCCCAUCUCGCAACAACCGUUGCGUUUUCAUUUUUAAAUUAAAAGUUCAUUAAAUCCUUGACUUAAUCUACAACAAAAA
This is a long non-coding RNA of Aedes albopictus (Asian tiger mosquito), 713 nucleotides long. RefSeq lists it as uncharacterized. Lineage: Eukaryota; Metazoa; Arthropoda; Insecta; Diptera; Culicidae. The transcript is spliced from 2 exons. The record is from RefSeq and is a predicted model, not a curated record.